GGGGAAUAUUGCGCAAUGGGGGGAACCCUGACGCAGCAACGCCGCGUGAGCGAAGAAGGCCUUCGGGUCGUAAAGCUCUGUCAUAGGGGAAGAGGAGAAGACGGUACCCUAUGAGGAAGCCCCGGCUAACUACGUGCCAGCAGCCGCGGUAAUACGUAGGGGGCGAGCGUUGUCCGGAAUUACUGGGCGUAAAGGGUGCGUAGGCGGCCUGAUAAGUCAGAUGUGAAAUACCAGGGCUCAACCCUGGGGGUGCAUUUGAAACUGUCGGGCUUGAGUGCAGGAGAGGAAAGCGGAAUUCCUGGUGUAGCGGUGAAAUGCGUAGAUAUCAGGAGGAACACCAGUGGCGAAGGCGGCUUUCUGGACUGUAACUGACGCUGAGGCACGAAAGCGUGGGGAGCGAACA
This 403-nucleotide ribosomal RNA is filed under the name uncultured Eubacteriales bacterium. Its description in RNAcentral is "bacterial SSU rRNA". It matches the Rfam family "Bacterial small subunit ribosomal RNA", at positions 356 to 774 of the family's 1533-position model. The record is from RNAcentral. Lineage: Bacteria; Bacillati; Bacillota; Clostridia; Eubacteriales.